RNAcentral lists this transfer RNA (81 nucleotides) under Blumeria hordei DH14. Its description in RNAcentral is "tRNA-Ser (GCT) (tRNA-Ser-GCT-4-1)". It matches the Rfam family "tRNA". From Rfam's summary of the family: Transfer RNA (tRNA) molecules are approximately 80 nucleotides in length. Their secondary structure includes four short double-helical elements and three loops (D, anti-codon, and T loops). The record is from RNAcentral. Lineage: Eukaryota; Fungi; Ascomycota; Leotiomycetes; Helotiales; Erysiphaceae.
GGCACUUUGGCGGAGUGGUUAACGCGAUGCCCUGCUAAGGCAUUUCCUUCGGGAGCGUGUGUUCGAACCACACAGGUGUCG